This is a non-coding RNA of Salvelinus sp. IW2-2015, 707 nucleotides long. The record is from RefSeq and is a predicted model, not a curated record. Lineage: Eukaryota; Metazoa; Chordata; Actinopteri; Salmoniformes; Salmonidae.
GGUCUGUCCUCUCCUCCAGUGUAAGAAGAAGCACACCCUGGUGUGYCCAGACUUCUCCAGUGGUGGCUCCUGUCCUCGAGGGGCCCAGUGUAAGCUCCAGCACCGUCAGAGGGCCAAACGCACCGCUCCUAACCCCAACCCCACCACAGGCCCCUCCGCUGCCCCGGCUAAGAAGUCCCGCACCAAGAGGCCUAGCCUGUCAGUUGUCCUACCUGAUGACCAGGCGGCAGAGGGUUCUGCUCAGGCAGAUCCAGGGACACUCUYGUCUUCUUCCUUGGGUCCUCACAAGACCAAGCUCCCGUCGUUCAUCUCCCUCUCCAGCUCCCCCGAAGACACAGAUGCCCCGGACACGCCCCCUGCCGACUUGGCAGAGGUCACAGAGAGAAUACUGCAGAUCAAGCCUCGACUCUAGAACUACAGGAACUAGAAUGGAUACUGCCUGAACACCAAAUGAGCUUUGAAAAUACUACAGAGACGUAUGUAUUGAAUGCUUAUGGAAGCUCUGACGUUUCUCAGACCCAUAUCUGUAUCCGCUCUCAACCACACUCAGGGUCUUUUAAUGUAGCUAAAGGUUUGCUUUAUGGACUCAUUCAUUUCAUACAGCAAUGAUGUUUGUAAUAAAGAUUGUAUUGAUAUUUGAACAUGUUUUGUUUUUUUGUAAAUUGGAGAUUUGACGGAUUUGGAAUAAAAUGUAUGUUAUUACUGUA